Equus caballus (horse) is the source of this 8899-nucleotide non-coding RNA. The record is from RefSeq and is a predicted model, not a curated record. NCBI's taxonomy places the organism in Eukaryota, Metazoa, Chordata, Mammalia, Perissodactyla, Equidae.
UAGGUCCAUGCCUGGGAUCUGAACCCAUGAACCCUGGGCCACUGAAAUGGAGUGUGUGAAAUUAACCACAAUGGGCCAGCCCCUGCUAGAGUCUUUUUAAAAAACCACUCUGAUUGUGCCUACCACUCUUUAGACGUCUGGUGACUUGAACUUCUCAAAUUCUGGACACAGCCCAUGUGGUCCUGCACGAUCUGGCCCCAAGCCAUUUCUCCAGCCACCUGGAAUAUCACAAACUCUUGCAGCUCAGAUCCUUUGCAUUCACUGUUCCAUCUGCCUAGAAUACUCCUCCUCUCCACGCCCUCUCUGCCUUGCCAACUCCUGGGCAUUAUCCGUCAGCUCCUUGCUCGUGUGUCGCUUCUCCAGGGAACCGCAGCAGGAUUCCCUGUAGAUUUUCACAUAGCACCUUGUACUUCAACAACAGCACCUGGCACCUUUACACUCCAGCAUGGCGGAAGCUUGCUUAUUUUGUUCAUCUCUUUGUUCUUAAAUGUGCAGCAUAAUAGUAGAUGAUGGAGAAAUGGUUGUUGGUUGAAUGUGUGGAUUGAAUGAAUGAGCUCUGGACUCAAGAGCCGAGCACUGGGCGUUGGCAUCUGAGUCUCCCCCUCACUGAGUUCCUAAGUUACCUAAUGGAGCCAGUUUCCUCAUCUGUAAAUGCAGCAUGUAGAGAUUUUGAGGGAAAAGGUCUGUUGAUAUAUGUGAAAGCGCACUGAUUGAUUGCUGGUGUGGAGCAGGUCCUUGAUAAAAAUCCAUUUUCUUUUCAUUUUUCACGUUCUCUUCCUUCGCACAAACCUUUGCUCCUUCUAGGCAUCAGCGUCCUUCAUUUAUAAAAUGGGAGGCUGUCUCCCAGGGUGGUUGGAGGAUCAAAAGACAGAUGUAUGUGAAAGAACUUACUAACGAGCAGGCAGCAAAUACAUCUAGGCUGCUCUUACCUCCCCGGGUGGGAGUGCUCUUCACUGUGCUGCUGAGCCAGCUUCCCGAGCGAUUGUGCUGGACAUAGCAGGUGCUGGCCUGUUCAGGUCAGAUCAUGUAACACAGUCUUUUGUGAUCUUUAGUAUCCUUCGUGUAAGGCUAGCAGUCGCCCCUGCUUUUUGCCCUCAUAUCUCUUCCGAAGAUGACCCGGGAGAAGAAGGCCCAGAGAAUGAUUUGGUGAAAGAAGAGGUGCUGACAAGUUAGAACGCUGGGUCGCUCACCCUUCAGAGCUGGGCAUGAAACACAUGUGCCCUUGAGCCCCAGUUCCCCCACCAGUUGCUCCCCCUCAUGCUUCCUGUCUCUGACCAGCACAUCCUUCCACCCACUUGUCCAACCAGAAUCCGGGAGUGGGACUCAGUCCUCCCCCAACUGCAUCAUCAUCCAGUCCUCCCACCUGUCCCUCCCACCUGCACACCUCCCUCCAUCCCUGCUGUCCAUGUGCAGAGCCCGGCCCGCAGGGAGCGUGUGGUUUGGUUGGAUAUAAAGGACGUGUGUGUGCAGGUUGGAAGCCCCCCACCAGGUGUAUAGAUGUCAAUCACCAUUCCUUGUUGGAGAGAGAAAGGCAGGAAGCUUGGGGCCAAGAAGACCUGGGUUCAAAUUCUAGCUCUGCCAUUUCUCAGCUGUGAGAUCUAGGAAUGUUCUGUCUCCUGAGCCUAGUUCCUCACCUGUUAAAUAGAGAUGACAUGGCCUCACCUUUCUACCCAACCGCCAUACACACACACUCCCCUACCUGUCUGAGUAUUGCUCUUCUGUGCUUGUGACUUCGUAAUUAUUUGCUGACCCGUUUCAGCUCAUUAGGCUGAGAAUUUCUCCUGGCACACUCUUCAGUCAUUGAGAGUUGCAUGAGUGAGCCAUUGAGAUCAAGGGAGCAGGUGCAGGUGGCAGGGCCCCUCACAGAGCCCAGCAUGUAAGAGGGACACACAAACUGUAAGAAAGACCUCGAUGGGAUCACCAGCCUGGGCCCCUAAACUGAGUCAUGGAAGGCACUUAAUUCAUAUUGAGAAAUAAGGCCAUUAAGGCCCAGACACUUGCCUGACAUGCCUGGGGUCACCCCAGUGCAGGUAGAGAUGAGGAUGGUCUGGUAAGACAAGAGCCUUAGAACAGAGGAAUUCUUAGAGAUUGCUCCAAUGCCUACAUUUUCUCCCAGAUAAGCAAACAGGAUGCAGGUCUUCUGACUCCCAGCCCAGUGCCUUUCUGGGCAUUUGGUUGCAGUCAGCGUGGUGGUUAAGAAGGUAGGCUUGGGAGGCAGGUGGCUGUGUUCAGAGUCCUGCAGGGUUGCUUGCCAGCAUGUCACCCUGACUAAGUUACUGCACCUUUCAGAGACUUGGUUUUUUCAUCUGUAAAAUGAGACGAUAAUACCACCUUAUAGGGUCAUGAAAAUCGCGUGAGAGAAUGUGGGUAAAGAGCUAAGACAGUGCCUGGGAGAUUGUGAUCUCCUCCCUAAACAUCAGCUGUUAUGAUGAUGAUUAUUGCCGCAGACUCUGUGAGCCCCAAGAAUUUAGAGAAGGGAACAACCACAGGGGCCAGAGUGGACAGGGUAGUCUUUAAAAAGGAAGUAGCCUUGGGCCUUGUAGGAUGUGUAGGAAUCAGAGUGGUCAAGAGGUGGAACCCAGUGUCCCCACUUGUGCCAGAGGGCCACACUCCUCUAACUAGCUGCUUUGACCAUUCUGCCUUAUUUGGGUCCCAGGAACCUCUGCUGAGAAGUUUUUUCUGUUGGCAGAGGUGCCACGAGUUGCCAAGAGGAAGAGGGCCCCCUGACCACGCUGCCCUGGCUCCCGCCUGUUGUGAAUAAUGUUGCCUGAGGUGGGGCAGCUCUGCAGACAUUUCUUAGCUUCAUGGUUGUGCUGGGGGGAGGAAGGGGGGGGGGGCAUGUGUGCACACAGGCCGCGGAACACCUGGGGCAGCACCAGUUGGCCUACUGGAGUUAGAAAUGAGUUUAGGGUGAGGAUCCACACAAAAUGUGGGAUGCAGAAAACGUGACAGGAAAAUAAACUGGAAAUAAGCCAAAAAGGCUUCAAGGCAGAAGUAGCUGUCUUAGUCCCUACCUGUGGUUCUCCAGUGCUCCUUUGCCUAAGAGAUCAUAUAAAUCACAGAUGCCAGAGCCUCCUGAAGAUUCUGAUUUAGGAGGGCUGGAGCUCUGCACUGUAAACAGACACUCGGAGUGAUUCUGCCUCAGUGGUCCCUUUGAUAAACCCUGCCCCAGAUUCCUUUUCUAGGCUUCUUCCUGCUUACUUUACAUGCAGCUCUAACCAGCCUGGAAAUCUGAUUCUCAGACCAAGCAGAUUAGAAGCCGCACACUGGAAGGCAACAGGGUAGAGGCAGAGAACUUAACAGAAGGUGAGAUGACAGCUAACAGCACGAUGGCAGACAGCUACAAGGACCUCCCAAGGCACAGGAACACAAGAGGGGCCGCAGUGAGGAUUUGAUGCCGUCGGCUUUGCAAAGGUGUCUGUGUGGCACAAAAUAAGGCAGCACUGUCAACACUUCCCUAAUGGAGGCCAUUCAAACAUUGUUUCGAAUGUGCCUGGCAGGUCCACCAAGAACCUGGUGCACCACCAGCUAGUCUGAAGCUUGAGAAAAGACGGGAAAAAGGGAAGAAAGGUAAUAGCAAGAGCUGACUUCUAUAUUGAACCCCAACCAAGUGUGCUCCCAUCAUCCCAGUGCUCGAGCCUGAGGACAGCCCCAAGGGAGGCUGGCGAAUGGUGGUACCCCGACUUCUCAGAGGAGAAACCAAGUCCAGGGAAGUAGAGGCACUUACCCAGGGUUACUGAGCACCCAUGUUGCAGAGGAAGGAUUGAACUUCACCCCCAGGGCUCUUCCCUAUAGAAAGGGAUGGGGCGUGGGAGAAAGAAGCCCACUGAGAGUGGCUUCCAUGGUGGGGCAGCCGCAUCCGGAAGGAGGGAGGGCAAGGCGUGGGGCCUGGGCUCCCUGCACGGCGAUGAAGGCCAUGUUCCCAGGCUCUCCAGUGCCUGAUCACCGCACUGGCCACCGUUGGUGGUUGGCGCUAGGACAGGAGCACUGCCUGGGUGGUCUAACACACAGGAUGUGUCUCGCCUUAAAGCAGAAGUGAAACAGGGCACACUUCCCCUUGUGAGACAAGAGGCAAGUCUGACCACCCCCUUGCUACUGUCUCCUGCAGGAACCAGGAGGCUGGCUGCCACUGCUGGGGUCUGAGAUUCGGGUUGACAAAGAGAAGCCAGGCUGGUCUGGGGACCUAACUUAUGCAGGGAGUCGGGUGUCCACCUCCCACUGCACACAAUCUUGGGAUCUCUUGCCACAUACCUCCUUAGGCAGCGUCCAUGUGAUUAGAAGGCUUUAUGAUUUAGACUCUAAGGGAGAUGGCCCUUUAUAUAAGUCCCUGUCUCCCGCAGAAUUGCGGCCAACCUGUUGCUGCAAGAUGGAGGUUCAUUUGUGGUUUAGCCACUCAUUUGUUGUGCAGGUGUUCGGUCCUUGUUCUCCCCUCAACAAGUAUAUUAAGAACCAUUAAUGUACCAGGCAUUGUGCUGAUAUAGCGGGAGAAGGAUGGUAAACAAAACAUUACACAAAUCACUAUUGUUACGGUUGUGACAAGUGCUCCAAAAGUCAAGGAGAGGUCGCUGUGAAAGGUUUGAUGGGGCCCCAACCUAGACUAGGAGUCAGGGAAGGCUUCCUCGGCAUUUCUGUGGAGACCUGACGGAUGGCAGGGCUUGCAAAGGGCAGAGAAGGGUGGGGAGGAGCUCCUGGCUGCAAAGACUCUGAGACUCUGAGAUGGAAAGAAGCCUGGUGGGCCCGAGGGAGAGUGAGGGGGCUGGUAUAGCUGGAGAAGGAAGCAGAGACCAGAUCACGCAGGGCCUUGCAUGGGUCCUGUCUGUCUGACGCGUCAUCAAGAGGAGCGUCUGGAAGGCUGGUUGAUCUUGGGCAAGGCUUUCUCUUCUCUCAGCCACAGUUUCCUCAUCUUUUCAAUAGGAAUGUGUCUGCUGUCCUUGCAGUGUUGUUGAAGAGCCCUUAGGUAAAGCACUUAGUACGAUGUCUGGCACAGUGGAGGGGCCUGAUAAGUGGAGACAUUAAUCUAACUGUUGUGACAGUGCGGAGCCAGGAAUCCAGGCUCCUGCCCAGCUCUCCCUCCAGCGGCUGCCGCUGCAGUUCCUGCCUCCCCCAGGGCUGCUUCUGGGAGACGUGGAGCCGGGAGCCGCCAUCAGGGCUGAACACAUUGGCCUGAGCUCCAACCUGCUCUCUACUGAAGCGUUUCCCUGCUGUCAUAUCACUGCCCUUUGCCAGCCUAGGUUAAUGCAACCUGGGAAAAGGCUCCAGUCUACAGCGAUGGUCAGCCCUGGAAGCGGGUGCUCCUCUCCCUCCUCCCAUCCCCCGAAUUCCCCCAGGCUCUGGCUAGUCAGUCAGUCUUUGCAGACGCCUGAUUCCUGCUAUGGCAGCCAUGUGCCAUGCAGGUGAGGGGCAGAGGUGGCACUGAGCUGGCAGCCCCAGGGUUGACCGGCAGCAGGACUGCAUUACUCUGCAAGGAUAGAGCCACCCUGGAAUCCCUGUCUUCUGAUUCAGGGAAGCAAUCUUCCUACAGGAGAGAGGAACUGGCACUGACGGCGGGCGUGCCUGGAGCUGUGUGGGGUGCUUUGCGUGCUGCCUGCCUUCGUUCUAGCAGCACCCCUCACAGUGGACGUUAUGGACCACUAUUCCAGAUAAGUAACUGAGGAUUGGGGUCACAGAAGGUCACUCAGCUGACAAGUGGCAGAGUCCGAAUUCUACGCCAGGUCAUCAUCACUUUGCCCUGCCCCCUGCCCCUCAGUGGUGGGCCUUUGGGCUGUGUUUUGUUGUAUUUUUGUAUUUCAUCCAGUGCAAGCCGAUUAUAGAAGAAACAAGGUGGGUGAGCCUGAGCUUUGAUUUCUUCAUCUCGCAUGUGGCCACAGGAGUGUCAUAGAAUGACCACACUGGAGCCACCUCAGCGAUGGGUAGAGCCACCCCCCCUGGUUUACAGGAGGGAAACUGAGGUCUAGAGGUGGGGAGCAACUUGCCUGAGGUUACAAGAUGGGUCAGUGGAGAGCUGGGCCAGGCCGGACUCUCCUUGGGGCCUCCUUCAUUGGUCUUUCUCAUCCUCCCUUGCUGGCCUCUUCACCUCUGUCCAGUUCUGCACAUUGGAGGAUCCCAGCCUGUCGCCCCUGGACCUCUUUUCUGCAUCUCAUUCCCCGGGUGACCCAGUCCCAUGAUUCUAAUUACCAUCUACAUGCCCGCCCUGAGUCUCAACUUGAGACCUCUAGCCCUGACCCCGCCUUUGAACUCCAGCCCAUCUGUCCAGCUGCCUUGGCCUGUCCUUAGACAUCUAAGAGGCUAACAAACUGGAUGUGUCUAAAACACAACUCUUGAUUUAGCUGUAUCCUCCCGGCUCCCACCAAGCUUGCUCCUCCCACAACUUCCCCAUUUUAGUCACUGGACCAUCAUCUUCCCAGUUAUUCAGGCUGAAAGCAUUGGUGUUAUCCUAUAUUUCCUUCCCUCAACCCCCACAUCUGAUCCAUUAGUAAAAAUAUAUUGCAGUCUGACCCUUCUCCCAUCUCCACCGUCAUCUGAUGCUGCAGCAACCUAACUGGUCCUCCUGCAUCCUCUUUUCCCGUCAAGAAUUUAUUCUUCUCACAGCAACCAACGUGCUCUCUUUUAAACAGAACAGGUUGUAUCAUUCCCCUGCUUGAAAACCUUUCAGUGACUUCACAUCAAUUCAGUAUGAAAUCCCAACUCCCUGCCAUGGUCCACAAGGCCCUACAGGUCCUGGGCUUCUGGAAGCCUCUGUCUCCAUUUUCAUCUCCUCCUGCUUCCUGAGAAUGAUGCACUGUCUCUUCUUUUUGUUCCGUGAGCACCCCAAGGUUGCCCCUGCCUCGGGGCCUUUGCACGACUCUUCCAUUUUCUUGGAACCCUCUUCCAAGAUCGUGGCUCAGUUGCUUCCUCAUUGUUGACAUCACUUGUCACAUUCCCUGAAUACCCUGUCUAGAGAAGCACCACCCCUCUGCCCAUCACUGUCUGUCACACUGGCAUGCUCUCUCUCUCACAGCCCUUGUCGUCACCUGAAAUCAUCUGGGUUAUUUGCCCACUUGUGGACUGUCUUUUCUCCUCACUGGAAUGUAAGUUCUGGGACUGUUUUUGUCCCUGCCACGUCCUCAAUACUAACAACAGUGUGCCUAGCACAUGGCAGGUGCUCAAUGAGUACUUGUUCACAGAACCAGCCACAUGGACUAAGGGCCUAAGUUACAACUCAAGUUUAUUCUAGGUUGCUGCCCCCAGACUCUCUUUUGUAGGACAGCUUUUCCCUGUCCUACGACUUCUUUAAGACAGUAAUUUCUUUAAGUGCUCAGAGGUCACUCAUUUAUCUACCAGCUCUACCACCUACAGGCUGUGUGACCUUGGGCAAGUUACUUAAUGUCUCUGUGUCUCAGUUUUGUCAGCUGUAAAAUGGGGGUAAUAACAGUGCCCACUUCAUAGAGUAAAUGUGAGAAUUGAAUGAAUGCAUAAAGAGUGCUUAAAACAGCACAGGGACACAGUGUUCAAUAACGUUAGCUCUAUUAUUUUUAUCAUCGUUAUCAUCACCACUGUCAUCAUCACUGGUGUUUUUAAUUGAGAUAUACUUGACAUAUAACAUAUUAGUUGCAGCUGUACAGCAUGAUUCAAUAUACGUAUAUAUUGCAACAUGAUCAGCAAAAUCUAGUUAACAUCCAUCACCAGUCUGACUCCUGGAAGAGGCAACUGGUGUCUCUGCCUUCACGUAAUAAUACUUUGUGCCACUCUGCCUGCACAGUACCCUCCAGUGGUUUUCGAUUUCACUUCAGAAAAAGACCAAACCCCUUUAAGUAGCCUGUGAGCCCCACAAGCACCUCUCCAGCCUCAUCCUGCAUGGCUUUCCCCGUUGUUUGACCCCCUGCAGUCACACCAGCCUCAUUUCAGCGUUCAUGUGACUUCUGCUUGUCCCACAUCAGGCACUUUGCCUGGAACUUACUCUCCCUCCACCUUUACCUGGUCAGUGCCUGCUCUUCGUCCCCAUCUCAGCUAGGUCAUUACCGUCUUAGCCUCCCACGACCACUCACGAGGGAAAUUCCCUAUUUCACACUCGGGGCAACACGUCCCUCUGUGGUAGCACGUCUCACAGUUGUGCGUUUGCUCUCUGCCUUCACUUGGAUUAACAUCUGCCUUCCCUGUUAGAUGCUAAACUCCAUGAGAACAGAGACCAACUCGUUCUUUGCUCACCUUUGUACUCCCAAUGCGAGCAGUGUUUGCACAGAGUAAGUAUUCAAUAAAUAUUAAAUGAGUGAGUGAAUGAAUGAAGGGGAGAAAGCCUUUGGGGUGGAGGGUAGCCCUUCAGAUCAAGCACAGACCUGCCCCAAGUGAAAAUCUGCUGCCUUUGCAUAACCAACUGGCCUCCUGCUGUGAAGCCCGAACAGCUCCUGACUUCCAGCAGGUUCCACUUGCUAGCAACGUGGCAUGGGCAGCCCCUGCCUGCCAUGCUGCUUUCACAGGGUGCGCACAGAGCUACAAAAAUGGGAAAGCCUUUGCUCGUCUAAGCCAAGAUAGAAACUGGACGUGAAGCUGCAGCACAAUGGAGAAGUCUGUCUCGCUUCCUGGACUCGGCUGUCUUACUGCCAGACACUCAGCUUUUCCUUCCCUCUCGAAACAAGGUGACUGUGGUGUCCUGAUGGUGGACUGCUCUGUUCUGAUUUAGCUGGCUGAUGGUGUUUUCUUUAAUUGGUUCCAUCAGAGGUCCUUCAGGCUGCAGACCCGGACCAGUCACCCCCAGAGUCUGUACCAAGACAUGGCAAAAUGAGAAAAAUAGGGACCAAAUAGGGAGUUUUCCUAAAACUAAAUGAAUUCUCAGAUUGUCUGCCCUACUUUUUUGUGUGUCAAGAUGCCCUUUCUUUUAUGAAACAAGGGUGAUGGGAGGUGAUGAUAGUUUUUUUUUAAUGUC